AAAAUCUUUAAAUGAUGCAUAUUUUUUCUUUAAAAUACACGGAGUGAAAUUUGAAGUAAAUGAUUCAUCUGCAAUAACGAUAGGCGAACAGCUGGCGUUUGCAGAUCUUGUGAAAGAAAUCUUCAACGCUGGAAGCGGCAAUGGUCCAUUUUAUGUGAAGUUUUUGUCUGGAGCAUUGAACUGAAAUAUAAUUCAACACUAUGAAAAUGAUUCGUUUGCGGGACGUAAAGUUUAGCGGACACAAUGCUUGCUUAUUCCUUUUCCAAAAAAUGAUUGUAGCGAUAGGGAACUGCAUAUUUUCUGGAUGAAGAGCAUAAACGAUAUGAACAAUUACCGUGUACUUCGUUUGUUUAAAAGCCAAGAAGGUCAUUGACAAAAAUGGGCAAUAUAAAUGACGAAAUGUUAUAACAUUAUUCCACAAAGAUACUCGGCGAUUACUUGCCACAUCGAUAUCCGUCGGCGGUAACUUUUGAACACGUUACACUCUUUUCGUUAAUAUAGAAUUAAUAGCCGAGGAGAAUAUAAAAAGCUUGAACUGUUAAGGAACAGUACGGAAUCCAUUACAUCGUGUUGAAUUAUUUUUUAUUGUGCUAAAAUUAUAAAGUUUAUCUUGUGGGUAUGUUAAAAAUAAACUUAUUCAAGACGUU
Molecule: long non-coding RNA, 647 nt
Organism: Dreissena polymorpha
Lineage: Eukaryota; Metazoa; Mollusca; Bivalvia; Myida; Dreissenidae
Exons: 2
Source: RefSeq, a predicted model, not a curated record